UUUUUUUUUCGUUUUCUUAGGCGGCUAGGGUUUUACUCAGCUAGGUAGGAUUUGUGCUGAUAACGUGUUAUAACCAAAGAAAAAGAUAGAAGAAAUUAGUGUGUUAUUUCAUUGAAUAAAGGGUCAUUUAUAUAAGAGUACAAGAGAAGGGUAAAACCCUAGAGACAUCUAGAUGAUGGGCCUUAUAAUGGGCAUCCAUAUAUUAUUCAUAACAUUUACAUUAUUUUUCAAGGGGAUUGUUUUGUUCUCCUUCAAACCAAUUUAUUUUAUUAUAAGAAUUAAACAGAAAUGUCUUUUUUAUAUUUUCACUU
This 311-nucleotide small RNA is filed under the name Arabidopsis thaliana (thale cress). RNAcentral's name for it is "ATSL146310". Lineage: Eukaryota; Viridiplantae; Streptophyta; Magnoliopsida; Brassicales; Brassicaceae. The record is from RNAcentral.